CUCCUGCUGCUGGGGGCGCUGCCAGGGCUCCGGGCGGCCGUGACCCUGCUGGAGUCCGGGGGGGACCUCCAGCCCCCCGGGGGGUCCCUGCGCCUCCUCUGCCGAGGGGAUGGAUUCCAGUUUGGGGAAUUCAGCCUGUCCUGGAUCCGCCAAAAACCCGGGAAGGCCCUGGAAUGGGUCGCAGGAAUCCACAGCGGUGGCACCACCAGCUACGCAUCGUCCGUGCGUGGCCGGUUCACCAUUGCCAGGGACAAUGGGCAGAGCUCGGUGACGCUGAGCAUGAACAACCUCCAGGACGAGGAUUCCGGGGUUUAUUUCUGCGGUAAAGCCGCUGUGGCUGGCUGGGGUGCUGAUGCUGAUAUUGCCAGAUGA
Non-coding RNA from Poecile atricapillus (Black-capped chickadee), 372 nucleotides. Lineage: Eukaryota; Metazoa; Chordata; Aves; Passeriformes; Paridae. The record is from the annotation of a RefSeq genome assembly.